CAAUAGCGUAUAUUUAAGUUGUUGCAGUUAAAAAGCUCGUAGUUGGAUUUCGGAUGGGAUUUGCCGGUACGUCGUUACGAUGUGCACUGGCCAGUCCUAUCUUGUUGUCGGGGACUAGCUCCUUGGAUUCACUUCCUGGGACUAGGAGCUGACGAGGUUACUUUGAGUAAAUUAGAGUGUUCAAAGCAAGCCUACGCUCUGAAUACAUUAGCAUGGAAUAACACGAUAGGACUCUGGCUUAUCUUGUUGGUCUGUGAGACCAGAGUAAUGAUUAAGAGGGACAGUCGGGGACAUUCGUAUUUCAUUGUCAGAGGUGAAAUUCUUGGAUUUAUGAAAGACGAACUUCUGCGAAAGCAUUUGUCAAGGAUGUUUUCAUUAA
This 379-nucleotide ribosomal RNA is filed under the name uncultured eukaryote. RNAcentral's name for it is "partial 18S ribosomal RNA". It matches the Rfam family "Eukaryotic small subunit ribosomal RNA", at positions 592 to 976 of the family's 1831-position model. The record is from RNAcentral.